Molecule: ribosomal RNA, 286 nt
Filed under: Escherichia coli
Lineage: Bacteria; Pseudomonadati; Pseudomonadota; Gammaproteobacteria; Enterobacterales; Enterobacteriaceae
Also listed under: 2 other names
Description: partial 23S ribosomal RNA
Rfam family: Bacterial large subunit ribosomal RNA
Source: RNAcentral
UGAGGGGGGCUGCUCCUAGUACGAGAGGACCGGAGUGGACGCAUCACUGGUGUUCGGGUUGUCAUGCCAAUGGCACUGCCCGGUAGCUAAAUGCGGAAGAGAUAAGUGCUGAAAGCAUCUAAGCACGAAACUUGCCCCGAGAUGAGUUCUCCCUGACCCUUUAAGGGUCCUGAAGGAACGUUGAAGACGACGACGUUGAUAGGCCGGGUGUGUAAGCGCAGCGAUGCGUUGAGCUAACCGGUACUAAUGAACCGUGAGGCUUAACCUUACAACGCCGAAGGUGUUU